AAGUCGUAACAAGGUUUCCGUAGGUGAACCUGCGGAAGGAUCAUUAUUGAUUUAAAGAUGUGCUGGCACUCCAUAGGUUUGCAUGUGCACUCUACAAAAUCUCCUUCUCUUACCCCAUUGUGCACACUCCAGUAGGCAAACAGAGGUUCACAGAGCAAUCUAUGCAAUCUUAUUUGCCUAUGUUUUAUCAAACACCAAUAGCAUGUUAGAAUGAUGUUAUAGUAAGCUUUUAAAAGCUGAAAUUUAAUACAACUUUCAACAAUGGAUCUCUUGGUUCUC
Molecule: unclassified non-coding RNA, 279 nt
Filed under: Clavaria sp.
Lineage: Eukaryota; Fungi; Basidiomycota; Agaricomycetes; Agaricales; Clavariaceae
Description: partial contains small subunit ribosomal RNA, internal transcribed spacer 1, and 5.8S ribosomal RNA
Rfam family: Eukaryotic small subunit ribosomal RNA (bases 1-46)
Source: RNAcentral